UACAGAGGUCUCAAGCGUUGUUCGGAUUCAUUGGGCGUAAAGGGUGCGUAGGUGGCGGGGUAAGUCUGGUGUGAAAUCUCGGAGCUCAACUCCGAAACUGCACUGGAUACUGCCUUGCUUGAGUAUUGGAGAGGAGAUUGGAAUUUACGGUGUAGCAGUGAAAUGCGUAGAUAUCGUAAGGAAGACCAGUGGCGAAGGCGGCUCACUGGACCACAACUGACGCUGAGGCGCGAAAGCUAGGGGAGCAAACAGG
Molecule: ribosomal RNA, 253 nt
Filed under: uncultured bacterium
Lineage: Bacteria
Description: partial 16S ribosomal RNA
Rfam family: Bacterial small subunit ribosomal RNA
Source: RNAcentral